This 484-nucleotide ribosomal RNA is filed under the name uncultured bacterium. RNAcentral's name for it is "partial 16S ribosomal RNA". It matches the Rfam family "Bacterial small subunit ribosomal RNA", at positions 28 to 507 of the family's 1533-position model. The record is from RNAcentral.
GAUUAACGCUAGCGGCAGGCCUAAUACAUGCAAGUUGAACGGCAGCACAGGUAGCAAUUCUGGGUGGCGAGUGGCGCACGGGUGCGUAACACGUAUGCAACCUACCCUAUACAGGCGAAUAACCUUUAGAAAUGAGGGCUAAUACGCCGUAGUAUUACAGAUGGGCAUCUAUUUGUAAUUAAAGGUUUAUCGGUAUAGGAUGGGCAUGCGUCCCAUUAGUUAGUUGGUAAGGUAACGGCUUACCAAGACGAUGAUGGGUAGGGGAUCUGAGAGGACUUACCCCCACACAGGGACGGAGACACGGACCAGACUCAUACGGGAGGCAGCAGUAAGGAAUAUUGUGCAAUGGCUGCGAGGCUGACCCAGCCAGGCCGCGUGCAGGAAGACAGCCUUAUGGGUUGUAAACUGCUUUUAUACGGGAAUAAUAGAGUGUACGCGUACAUUUAUGCAAGUAUCGUAUGAAUAAGCAUCGGCUAACUCCGUG